RNAcentral lists this ribosomal RNA (550 nucleotides) under uncultured Bacillus sp. RNAcentral describes it as "bacterial SSU rRNA". It matches the Rfam family "Bacterial small subunit ribosomal RNA", at positions 8 to 535 of the family's 1533-position model. Lineage: Bacteria; Bacillati; Bacillota; Bacilli; Caryophanales; Bacillaceae. The record is from RNAcentral.
AGAGUUUGAUCAUGGCUCAGGACGAACGCUGGCGGCGUGCCUAAUACAUGCAAGUCGAGCGGGGCUUGAGGAGGGCUUGCCCUUCGAGAGCCCAGCGGCGGACGGGUGAGUAACACGUGGGUAACCUGCCCGUAAGACCGGGAUAACUCCGGGAAACCGGGGCUAAUACCGGAUAACACCGGGGGCCGCAUGGCUUCCGGUUGAAAGGCGGCCUUUGGCUGCCACUUACGGAUGGGCCCGCGGCGCAUUAGCUAGUUGGCGGGGUAACGGCCCACCAAGGCGACGAUGCGUAGCCGGCCUGAGAGGGUGGACGGCCACACUGGGACUGAGACACGGCCCAGACUCCUACGGGAGGCAGCAGUAGGGAAUCUUCCGCAAUGGGCGAAAGCCUGACGGAGCGACGCCGCGUGAGCGAGGAAGGCCUUCGGGUCGUAAAGCUCUGUUGUCAGGGAAGAAGGCGCGCCGUUCGAACAGGGCGGCGCGGUGACGGUACCUGACGAGGAAGCCCCGGCUAACUACGUGCCAGCAGCCGCGGUAAAACGUAGGGGGC